This 388-nucleotide ribosomal RNA is filed under the name Gephyrocapsa cf. muellerae. Its description in RNAcentral is "partial small subunit ribosomal RNA". It matches the Rfam family "Eukaryotic small subunit ribosomal RNA", at positions 582 to 975 of the family's 1831-position model. Lineage: Eukaryota; Haptophyta; Isochrysidales; Noelaerhabdaceae. The record is from RNAcentral.
AUUCCAGCUCCAAUAGCGUAUAUUAAAGUUGUUGCAGUUAAAACGCUCGUAGUCGGAUUUCGGGGCGGGCCGACCGGUCUGCCGAUGGGUAUGCACUGGCCGGCGCGUCCUUCCACCCGGAGACCGCGCCUACUCUUAACUGAGCGGGCGCGGGAGACGGGUCUUUUACUUUGAAAAAAUCAGAGUGUUUCAAGCAGGCAGUCGCUCUUGCAUGGAUUAGCAUGGGAUAAUGAAAUAGGACUCUGGUGCUAUUUUGUUGGUUUCGAACACCGGAGUAAUGAUUAACAGGGACAGUUGGGGGUAUUCAUAUUUACAUGUCAGAGGUGAAAUUCUUGGAUUUUGGAAAGGUGAACGACUGCGAAGGCAUUUACCAAGGAUGUUUUCAUCG